GGCGGACGUGGCCAAGUGGAUUAAGGCAGUGGAU
This 34-nucleotide transfer RNA is filed under the name Plagiothecium curvifolium. RNAcentral describes it as "partial tRNA-His". The record is from RNAcentral. RNAcentral also lists the same sequence under 1 other name. Lineage: Eukaryota; Viridiplantae; Streptophyta; Bryopsida; Hypnales; Plagiotheciaceae.